UUACUUAUGGUACCGUAGUAAA
RNAcentral lists this small nuclear RNA (22 nucleotides) under Arabidopsis thaliana (thale cress). RNAcentral's name for it is "snRNA_12161". The record is from RNAcentral. Lineage: Eukaryota; Viridiplantae; Streptophyta; Magnoliopsida; Brassicales; Brassicaceae.